AGUUCUUUAACUUAAUCGGUGAAAGUGCAUUCUUGAUAAGAAUGAAAUUUAAGUUCAAGUCUUAAAAGAAUUA
Molecule: non-coding RNA, 73 nt
Organism: Stachybotrys chartarum IBT 40288
Lineage: Eukaryota; Fungi; Ascomycota; Sordariomycetes; Hypocreales; Stachybotryaceae
Source: Rfam